GACGAACGCUGGCGGCGUGCCUAAUACAUGCAAGUAGAACGCACAGUUUAUACCGUAGCUUGCUACGCCGUAAACUGUGAGUUGCGAACGGGUGAGUAACGCGUAGGUAACCUGCCUGGUAGCGGGGGAUAACUAUUGGAAACGAUAGCUAAUACCGCAUAAUAUUGAUUAUUGCAUGAUAAUUGAUUGAAAGAUGCUAUUGCAUCACUACCAGAUGGACCUGCGUUGUAUUAGCUAGUAGGUGAGGUAACGGCUCACCUAGGCGACGAUACAUAGCCGACCUGAGAGGGUGAUCGGCCACACUGGGACUGAGACACGGCCCAGACUCCUACGGGAGGCAGCAGUAGGGAAUCUUCGGCAAUGGACGAAAGUCUGACCGAGCAACGCCGCGUGAGUGAAGAAGGUUUUCGGAUCGUAAAGCUCUGUUGUAAGAGAAGAACGGGUGUGAGAGUGGAAAGUUCACACUGUGACGGUAUCUUACCAGAAAGGGACGGCUAACUACGUG
Molecule: ribosomal RNA, 505 nt
Filed under: uncultured bacterium
Lineage: Bacteria
Description: partial 16S ribosomal RNA
Rfam family: Bacterial small subunit ribosomal RNA
Source: RNAcentral